UUCUCAUUAGGAGAUAGAGUACUGGUCAGCCUGACACUUGCCCUGUGAGCUUCAAGCCUGCACCAAGGUCAGACCUAGUGUUCCCACGGACAGAGGCCAGAGAAGACACGAGGCGGUGUGGGGGAGCGAUGUUUUGGUUCCUCAAAUACUUUCCAGCGGCUUCAGAGCUUCCUCCUGUGGGAGGCCCUGUGUCAGCAGGCAAGGUUGGCAGCUGAUGAGAAGUAGACAAGAAAGAAAGCCCAGCAAGCUCCCGAGAGCCUGGGUAGUCCUGAUGCAAAGAGGCUAGGAUCACCUGGAAAGAGAGAAACUCAAUGGAGAAAAUGCCUCCAUCAUAUUGGCGUGUAGCUUCCCAGAACGUGCGCAAGCGGAGGAGGACGCUACUUGAGAUCAUAAAUGCGGAGACCUCAAGUCUGGUUUGAUGCUGCUUUCACAUUCCUACUUGAAGAUGUCUGUAUAGAAGAAAUGUUCUCCCUAUGUCAGCAACCUUCACAGCUACUGUUAAUAGCGCUGGAAUUCUCGAUUCUCAGUUGUGAGAGGCAUCACGGAGGCUCUGGACUGAGAAGCUCCUCUUUCUGUCCAUGUCCCCUCAACUUGCCCUUUCUUAUCACAUACUACCCGGUUUUGAUGGCUGUUCAAAUGCUACCUUCUUAUUCAGACUCUGCCCAAGCACCUUAUUUAAAAAUGCAUCCUCACUCUUUCCAGUAACUGACGGAAGCAGAGGCAGAGAUCCACAAACAAGUAGUAUGCUGAGCUCUGAGAGUCUUGUGGAAGAAAGGGAGGAGGGAUUGUACCGGCCAGGGAAGUCUUGAUGGGGGAACCAACAGAGACAGCUGACCUGAGCUCGCAGGAGGUCAUGGACACUGGACUAAUAGUCAGGGAGCCUGAAUGGGACCGACCUAGGCCCUCAGCAUGUGUGUGACAAUCGUGUAACUUGGUCUCUUAAUAAGGCUUCUAACAGUGAGAGCAGGACCUCUCCCUGGUGCUUAGCUGGUUUUUGGUAACCUGUUACUCAUGCUGGAUUACCUAACCCUGCCUUGACGUAGGGGAGGAGCUUGGUGCUGCCUCAAUUUGAUGCGCCAUGCUUUGUGCAAGCCC
Arvicola amphibius (Eurasian water vole) is the source of this 1095-nucleotide long non-coding RNA. RefSeq lists it as uncharacterized. The transcript is spliced from 3 exons. The record is from RefSeq and is a predicted model, not a curated record. NCBI's taxonomy places the organism in Eukaryota, Metazoa, Chordata, Mammalia, Rodentia, Cricetidae.